ACACUCGGGGGCACCACUGACAUGAGUCACGGCUGUGCUCGUCCUGCCUGGACCCGACUGGCUGAAGGGCACAAUUCAACAUCUCCCCAGGCGUAAAAUUCUUGCCUCACGAGCAGGGGUACCCAGGGCCGUCCCUUCCUAUCAGGUUGUGCUUUUAUUCGGUUCCACGCACCUACACCACUUCUCCAUCUUUUCCUAUUGCUCACUUGGGUUUUUCUCUGAACGCCUAUGUUGGUAGGAAGUUGCAAUUUGGGGUUGUGUUUUCUAUUCUUUUUUUGUUCUCAUUAAUUCAUAAAUAAUGACAAGGGAAGUUUCGAAAACCCCCCAGCUCCUGUUUUGCAAGGAGCUUGAAGAACAGCAAGAAGAUGGUUGUGUGCAAAGGAAGUAAGAGAGUUUGUUGUGGAAUAUUGAAAGCAGGAAAAAGAUCCUCUUCAUUCUCAUACUGGCAAAGGAUCUGAUGAAAUGUAAAAUUGGAGCAUUUAUUACAUUGGGAGACCUUUACAAAGUUGGACUUUGAUGAAGAUGAUGAGUGGCCAGUCCUGCCUCAGAGUCUCCUCUGAUCUGUGGAAGCCUGGGCUGCUCCACAGAAUGGUCCCAUGCCUCGACACUGGUUUAUCAUCCACCAUGACCCCAAGCUCAUGGAUGAGGAAGGAAUACCCAUGGCUGCUACCAUCCCCGCCCCUCUGGCUUCAGAAAAAUCACCAAGCUUGGAGCAUGACUGCCCCAGGAAGAAGGAGAAGUAACUGCAUUGCUCUGCUCAACACAUGGCAGCUUGCUCCUCUCCUCUCCAGAGAACAUUGACCUUCAAGGCCAUACAUGAUUAAAGGAUUGGGAGACAUUCCCUGGUAUUAGCUGUUCCCUCUUUCUUUUUCCUGCUUAAGGUAAGAGCUGCACAAACUCCCUCUAUAAUAGUCACCUAACAGAGAACACAAUGACUAAUCUGUCAUCAAAGUAUUUAGGGACGAUGACGAUACCUACAUUGAUUUUCAGUGUGCUUUUUGUUUUUAUUUCACUGUGAUGUUUCUACAAAAUCCAUAAAUCAUAGGGAUGUGAUAAGAAACAGGUUGUAGUUGCUGGUUAUUCUUGUCCAGAUGCACAGAAACACCCUGAUUGUUACUUUCCAAUGACAACCAUCUCAGGGCUAAACAUUUGUCAGUUGCACAGCCAGCUUUCAAGGUUACACAUAGAUACUGAAUGAAACAGAGCCCACUGGUUAUUUUUAGAGAGGCUCUAAACAAGAAGCAAAUCCCUGGAGCAGUGCUGCCAGAGAUGCAUAAAGUUCAAAUCCAAAUUAAAACUGCCUAUCUUUGGCCUACAUUCCAACUUGAACUUGAGGAAAACUGUGAUCUGUGACUUGAACUUUAUGGCCAAUACUCAUUUGCAAUUAGUUUCUAAUACCUGAGAAUACAUGAACUUGGUACAAACACUUGAAAAAUAGAACUUGAAUGAAAAAUGUAAACACUUGUCCCAAAAUGUAGUACUUGUUCUUGUGAAUUUUGUGUGAGGUUUCAGUAGCUACACUGGGAUUUGGAGAGUCUCGUUUUUUGGGAUUCUUCAUUUCAACACAUCUUUGUAAGAUCAAGUGCUCCAAUGUAAUUGUAAAUUUUGGGGGCAGGAGGAAAAACAUGUUUAUUGAUUGAUCCCUCUAAUAAUGACCUGUGAUGCUCAGGUCUAGCUUUAGCAGUGACCACAACAGAAUAUGAAGAAAGGAAACCCUUUGACAGUAGCAUAUUUAUGCAAAGUGGUGCAACUGAAGCAUGUUCUUGAUUUCUUUGCUGAAUCAGAGCCUGUAUCUUCUUCCUGCCAAGGCAGAGAUCUAAUACCACUCCUAAAUGCCCUAGUAAUUCUAGAAGCACUAACGAAAGUCAAGAUAACACCACAGAUUUUAUAAAUAAGGGUCUUUAUUUAGAAUACUGGUGAAAACAUUCUUGGCAACCACAUCGUAUAAAUAUAUAAAGUUAAAGUUUGACACAACAAACCAAGCAAUAUUAAAUAUUUUUAAAAUUUU
This is a non-coding RNA of Zonotrichia albicollis (white-throated sparrow), 2008 nucleotides long. NCBI's taxonomy places the organism in Eukaryota, Metazoa, Chordata, Aves, Passeriformes, Passerellidae. The record is from RefSeq and is a predicted model, not a curated record.